CCUACGGGUGACUGCAGUGAGGAAUAUUGGUCAAUGGGCGUGAGCCUGAACCAGCCCAGUAGCGUGAAGGAUGACUGCCCUACGGGUUGUAAACUUCUUUUAUAAAGGAAUAAAGUGAGGCACGUGUGCCUUUUUGUAUGUACUUUAUUAAUAAGGAUCGGCUAACUCCGGUCCAGCAGCCUCGGCAAUACGGAGGAUGCGAGCGUUAUCCGGAUUUAUUGGGUUUAAAGGGUGCGUAGGCGGAAUGCCAAGUCAGCGGUAAAACCGCGGGGCUCAACCUCGCUCCGCCGUUGAAACUGGCGUGCGUGAGUGGGCGAGAAGUAUGCGGAAUGCGUGGUGUAGCGGUGAAAUGCAUAGAUAUCACGCAGAACUCCGAUUGCGAAGGCAGCAUACCGGCGCCCAACUGACGCUGAAGCACGAAAGCGUGGGUAUCGAACAGGAUUAGAUACCCCAGUAGUC
Molecule: ribosomal RNA, 459 nt
Filed under: uncultured bacterium
Lineage: Bacteria
Description: partial 16S ribosomal RNA
Rfam family: Bacterial small subunit ribosomal RNA
Source: RNAcentral